UACGAAGGGUGCAAGCGUUACUCGGAAUUACUGGGCGUAAAGCGUGCGUAGGCGGUGAGUUAAGUCUGUCGUGAAAGCCCCGGGCUCAACCUGGGAAUGGCGAUGGAUACUGGCUCGCUAGAGUGCGGUAGAGGAGAGUGGAAUUCCCGGUGUAGCAGCGAAAUGCGUAGAGAUCGGGAGGAACAUCAGUUGCGAAGGCGGCCCGCUGGACCAGCACUGACACUGAGGCACGAAAGCGUGGGGAGCAAACAGG
RNAcentral lists this ribosomal RNA (253 nucleotides) under uncultured bacterium. RNAcentral describes it as "partial 16S ribosomal RNA". It matches the Rfam family "Bacterial small subunit ribosomal RNA", at positions 524 to 776 of the family's 1533-position model. The record is from RNAcentral.